GACCGCGUAGCUCAGUUGGAAGAGCAUUGGGCUAGUAUUCCAAAGGUCGUAGGUUCGAAUCCCGCCGUAGCCA
Paramuricea clavata is the source of this 73-nucleotide non-coding RNA. The record is from the annotation of a GenBank genome assembly. NCBI's taxonomy places the organism in Eukaryota, Metazoa, Cnidaria, Anthozoa, Malacalcyonacea, Plexauridae.